CCCCUGUCCAUUUCUGCAGAGCUGUGAGGGUCUAUAAAGCCUGCAGUAUUUGUGCUUAAACCAGCACUUGUCUUUUGUAGUGAAAGACUGAGCAGCUUCAUUCCACUUGUCAGAUUCUGCACACGUUUCGUUCUCAUCCCUGAUUCCCACAAACAGGUCUGUGAAGUUCUUAUCCGGUUGGUGAAGAAGGAACAGCGGAGAUGAAUCCCGCAGCGCUCUCGAUUCUUCUUCUGUCUGCCGCGGCAUUGCUGGAGCUUCCACAGAUAAAAUGUGAGGACCCAAUCCCAAUGAACAUGGCUGAAGAUGCCCUUGAUGAUCAAUAUGUCAAUUGUAGUGAUGAAACUAUAAAACAAAUUAAAAACUAUCUCCAGUCAGAAUUAAAUAAAAAUAAAACAUUUCAAAAGGCAUGGGAAAUCGCACUCAUAAACGUAACAAAACUAAUUCAGGAAAAAAAGAUUACGGAAUUGAAUUUGGAGCAAGCCACAGCAAUCUAUGUUUACACUAUGAAUGACGUUUACAGCGCGUUCAACACCGCAGUAAGAACAGGAGGAACGAAUUACACGAUGUUUCCAUACAAGGCGUUGCAUUUUUAUUUGACAGAUGCCCUGAAAAGACUGAGAUCCAAUAAGGAAGAAUGUUAUGACGUGUAUAGAGGAGUUAACCUAACUUUUACGACUGCUGCAGGUAAAAUUGUACGAUUUGGCCAGUUUGCUUCAACCUCUCUCAUAAAAAAUAAAGCAAAGCAAUUUGGAAAAAAAACACUCUUCACAAUAAGAACCUGCCUGGGUGUGCCGAUUGAAAAGUAUUCAGCAUUCCAUACUGAAAAAGAGGUUCUCAUUCCACCUUUUGAGAGAUUUAAAGUGAUGUUAGUCAAUGGAAAUAAAAUCCGACUGGAACAUAUUAAAAACCAGAAAAGUAACUUCAACUGUGGGAGGCGCAACUCUGUUUAAGAUCCAGCACACUCUGACUGUGUUAUUUGGUCGCUCAUAGUCAUGCAAACACGCUAGAUACUGCAGGAGCAUUGGGGGUGCAAUCCCAUCUGUAUUGGUCAUCGAUACAGCUCUGGCCAAGUUUUGCAUCACUUAGAAUUUUUGGAUUGAAACCAUAUUAAAAAAGUCAUAAUUUAGAUAUUAAGGAGGCUGUGUGGUCCAGUGGUUAAAGAAAGGGGCUUGUAAUCAGGAGGUCUCCGGUUCAAAUCCCACCUCAGCCACUGACUCAUUGUGUGACCCUGAGCAAGUCACUUAACCUCCUUGUGCUCCGACUUUCGGGUGAGACGUAGUUGUAAGUGACUCUGCAGCUGAUGCAUAGUUCACACACCCGAGUCUCUGUAAGUCGCCUUGGAUAAAGGCAUCUGCUAAAUAAACAAAUAAUAAUAAUUUUAUUUAUCAUGUAAUCAAAGAAACUAUAAAAUGAUAUCUCAACAAAAAGUCUAUACCGGAAUCCAUAAUAGUAGCACAGUGGUAUUUUAUGUUAGAUUUAAAAAAUGUCACAUUUAAUAAAAAUCUUUUUUUUUUUCAAUCCAGUAUGUUAACGUAACAUUAUUCAGCAGCUUUCAUUCAACUUUAUGAAGCAACAUUAGUUAAUUCUGCAGGGUGAUACAAAACUUCUGGCUAUAGCUGUAUUAUCGAAAUAAAUUCAAUUUCUUCUAUCUUCAUAGAGCAUAAGUGUCGCUAUUUUUUUCUUUUUUAAAUAAGUAUUUUUUUUUAACAAUGAACAAAUUAAAGAUUUGAUCGUCUUUUUUAUUCUUAGUUUUUAAUUACGCUGUAGUGGGAGAAGAAUUCAGAAUGUUUCUUUUUAAAGCGAUUAAUAAAGCAAUUGCAAGCUUGCAUUAAUUAAUAGCUUGAACUGGGUUAUAGCUGCAUAAAUAACAAGUCCAUAUCUCUGAAAUAUUGUAAGGCUUCGCUUCAAUAAAGCACAUUUCAAAAACACUGGA
Molecule: long non-coding RNA, 1933 nt
Organism: Acipenser ruthenus (sterlet)
Lineage: Eukaryota; Metazoa; Chordata; Actinopteri; Acipenseriformes; Acipenseridae
Exons: 3
Source: RefSeq, a predicted model, not a curated record